This is a long non-coding RNA of Megachile rotundata (alfalfa leafcutting bee), 258 nucleotides long. NCBI's taxonomy places the organism in Eukaryota, Metazoa, Arthropoda, Insecta, Hymenoptera, Megachilidae. The record is from RefSeq and is a predicted model, not a curated record.
UUUAACGUGUUACGUCUGCGCGAAAACGCGUCGCGAGGAAUAUACGUUCUCUCGCAUCGAGCGUCGUCUAGCAAGAUCUUGAAGAGCGCAAUCUCCCCGUGAUAUACGCGGUACAUAUUAUAACUGUCUUGGGGGAUCGAGAUGAAUUUCAUGAAACAGUAAGAGCCACGAAAUGUUUGACGAAAGGAAUGAUGUGAACUCGGGUGCAGCCUGGGAUGAGGGCAUGUAUAGUACUUUCAGAUAUUUUCAGAUUUAUUU